AGGAUCAUGUCAAGAUAAACAUCCAGUGAGACCAGAACAGGCGCUCUCCUUUGACUGAAAUAAUAAAAAGUUGACUCAAAGUCGCUUGCAGAUGAGUAAGCCUCUCCCAGCCCUAGAAAACUGAUGAGGAUUAUAAGGAAGUCAUUUCCUCAGACUCUAGCUUAGAGAAGGGUUUAAUGGUUGAGAGGGGGGUGGUUCACCCUGCACUUGUGCCUGAAAUGUUUAAUUUCAGGUUUGUGUUUGGACCCCUUAACGUGUCAGAGUGGCUAUCAGAAUAACCUUGGCCUUUCUGAAGGGUAGGCUUACCACCUAAAUCACUACUAAAUAUUGUUGGCGUGACAGACUUCCUAGGACCGUACCCUAACUGUAGAAUGCCAGUUCCCACCC
RNAcentral lists this long non-coding RNA (387 nucleotides) under Bos taurus (domestic cattle). Its description in RNAcentral is "long non-coding RNA NONBTAT015602". Lineage: Eukaryota; Metazoa; Chordata; Mammalia; Artiodactyla; Bovidae. The record is from RNAcentral.